GCAGGUAUCGCCCACUACCCGUACAUUACAGCUUACAAACCCAAAACAAAAACGUAACAAUUAGCCGAGACAAUUUUCUAACCCCCCCAAAAAAUAGCGUUAUGAACUCUCCCUGCUUCAUUAUGGCGCAGACUGGCAGGGAUUAUUUCUUUCCGAAGGGAAUGAUGUUCGAGGCCAGUGAAGGAAUGGAGGCCCGGCCAGGCUGGGCCCUGAGAAAGCUCAACAGCAUCACCAUGUGGGCGCCCGAGGUGAUGAAGGUUUGACGACGGCGAGGCUUCCAAUUGACUCAACACGUGAACGACGACAGGAUGGUUCCCAGACUGCUGCUGCUGCCGCUGCACGGCCGCGAUGAUGUCAAUCAUCCCUCUGCCCUCCGACGGUAUUCCGAUCUCAGGCCAUCCGUGGAAGUGGAAAUGACGGACGUGUUGCGAGCGCUUCUCCUAAGCACGAGAGACAGAAGCUGUUGUUUUUUUGACGUUUCACGGAAUCAUUCGGAGCCCGUUCCCCUCUUGCUCUAUUGGACGAUGACGUGACCAUGCAGCUUUAGAAAUGGAGACUAAUCAGAAACAAAACAGCUUGUGCAGAUA
Long non-coding RNA from Nerophis ophidion (straightnose pipefish), 587 nucleotides. RefSeq lists it as uncharacterized. The record is from RefSeq and is a predicted model, not a curated record. NCBI's taxonomy places the organism in Eukaryota, Metazoa, Chordata, Actinopteri, Syngnathiformes, Syngnathidae. The transcript is spliced from 4 exons.